AGAGUUUGAUCAUGGCUCAGGAUGAACGCUAGCUACAGGCUUAACACAUGCAAGUCGAGGGGCAGCAUGGUCUUAGCUUGCUAAGGCCGAUGGCGACCGGCGCACGGGUGAGUAACGCGUAUCCAACCUGCCUUACACUCUUGGACAGCCUUCUGAAAGGGAGAUUAAUACAAGAUGUUAUCAUGAGUAAGCAUUUUCGCAUGAUUAAAGGUUUACCGGUGUAAGAUGGGGAUGCGUUCCAUUAGAUAGUAGGCGGGGUAACGGCCCACCUAGUCUUCGAUGGAUAGGGUUCUGAGAGGAAGGUCCCCCANAUUGGAACUGAGACACGGUCCAAACUCCGUACGGGAGGCA
RNAcentral lists this ribosomal RNA (351 nucleotides) under uncultured bacterium. Its description in RNAcentral is "bacterial SSU rRNA". It matches the Rfam family "Bacterial small subunit ribosomal RNA", at positions 8 to 350 of the family's 1533-position model. The record is from RNAcentral.